GACGUUCCUUCGGGUCGGGGUUG
RNAcentral lists this non-coding RNA (23 nucleotides) under Rattus norvegicus (Norway rat). The record is from RNAcentral. Lineage: Eukaryota; Metazoa; Chordata; Mammalia; Rodentia; Muridae.